UCCUGGUCAGCUCAGUUGGUAGAGCGAUCCACUGAAAAUGAAGAGGUUCCGGGUUCGAUACCCGGACCAGGCG
This is a non-coding RNA of Ixodes scapularis (black-legged tick), 73 nucleotides long. The record is from Rfam. Lineage: Eukaryota; Metazoa; Arthropoda; Arachnida; Ixodida; Ixodidae.